Molecule: long non-coding RNA, 1105 nt
Organism: Solenopsis invicta (red fire ant)
Lineage: Eukaryota; Metazoa; Arthropoda; Insecta; Hymenoptera; Formicidae
Exons: 7
Source: RefSeq, a predicted model, not a curated record
UUUAAAUUAUUUUAAACAUGAAAAAAAAGUUUACGUCUCCCGGCGUUUGAUUAAAUAGGCCUUAGUUAUGGAGUAAUAAAUUUGUAAAAAUUGGCCAUACCGCGGCGCGCCACAUGAACCUUUCCAAUCACUUUCCUUCCAAUCAGUGCAGUUGGCUCCGUGAAUUACGUGCUUGCUUCACGAUCAUAAGAUCCGUUUUCGCUCCCGGAGAUAGGUGAAAAUACGGCUUCGUGUGAGUAUCGCGAAUCGGGACGGGAGGCCAUUGCUCCAGGCACGUGUAUCGGUCGUAGAAAGACGAGAUUAAUUAUUUUUAAGCAACAUGAUCAUAUCAAAACAGAGAUUCCUUCAGAACAGAAAUUCCUUCAGAACAAAUUACAUAACAACGAAGAUUAUACCAGGCAGAGAUUACGAAUAAACAAAUUAAUUAUUUUUAAGCAACUUCAAGCAUAUCAGAACAGAGAUUCCAUCCGAACAGAGAUUUCUUCAGAACAGAUUCCUUCAGAACAAAAAUUCCUUUAAAACAGAGAUUUCACCAGACAGAUUACGAAUAAACAAAUAAAAAUGACAGGAUCAUCGUGGACUGUAGUCAAAUUUAAUGAGGAAAAUUUAGUAGAAGCUGUACCAACUUCAUGGAUUUUUAAUAAUAAAUGUUAUUGGCCAUCUUUUCAGCGUGAUUGCAGCUAAGUAUUCGAAGAAAUGAAGAGCCAAACACACAUUGGCCUUCAUAUAAAACUAUCCAUUUUCCAAAAUAGCACCUAUGAGAACUACAUGACAGCAAGAAAAAAAUGCAAAAAAGCUGAAGAUACAUCGGAUUUAACUCGGAAAUUUCAGCUAGCGAACAGAAAAAAAGAAAAAUUACAAAAAGACAGACUUUUUCUUCUUCAGAAGAAGAUGAGAAAUGCAAUUAUAAAUGCUUGCCAAAGUCUCCUGCCUUAACAGUUACCUUAUUCGGAUGUCCCAUGGACAUCCCAAUGUCCGGCGUCGGACGUCCAUGUGCUGUCUGAGACAUGAGUAAGAAUAGGAAAAUUUUUCAAUGAGGAUACAAAGAUAGUAUCACUUAGAUUUUGUAGAAAAAAAAUAAAGAUUUAAGGGGUACAUACACACA